Non-coding RNA from Camelina sativa (false flax), 1831 nucleotides. Lineage: Eukaryota; Viridiplantae; Streptophyta; Magnoliopsida; Brassicales; Brassicaceae. The record is from RefSeq and is a predicted model, not a curated record.
ACUACAAAAAAACCCUACAUUAAUAGCAUAUGAAGAUAGCUCGGUUUUCUCAUUUGCUAUUAAAGAAAGUUUAUAAUUUUAGUCUUCAUAUGAUAGCAUUCAAUAAACGCUAAGUCGAAAAAUCUCUAAGCAGGAAUCGAAAAUUGCAUUAUCCGCCAACACUUAACCAAAUAAUUCACUAAAACGCCUUUUCCCUACUCAUUUCUCUUAAAACUUUUUUCUUGCUCUCUCUUUCAAACCCUAAUCCCCUUUUUCCAUCUCCAAAGAUGCAAACCCAUAUCUUCCUCUUGUCUUCGUCGAUGACCAGACCAGGUUUUGAAGCUCAAUUUCUUCUCAUUGUCUCCUCUUUCUCCUUUGUCUUUCGCCGUUUGUUCCUCUCGUCUUCUCUUUCUCUUCUCCUUCUUCUCGGCUCAUACUUCUUAUUAUCAUCACCAUUAAACCCUAGAUUUACUUUCCUUCACUUGUACUCGGAAAUUUCUCCGAUUUGGUAUAGUUUGAGCUCAAAUCAAACGAUUUUAUGUUUGAAUUUCGAUUUGGGAUCAUGUUGAUUUUACAAGGAACAGUAAAAAGUUUCGUUUUUUGUUUUUUUUUCAAAAUUAAUGAGCAGAGUUAUUUUUUCCGAGACAGAGCUUGUGGGAACCAUAGUCAGAGAUUGGAAGGUGAAUUGAUUCCAUGCCCUAUUGAUCCAUCUCACUUUGUGUUGCAGGAGAAUCUCGAAAAGCAUAUCAAAAGAUGUCCUUUACUCAAACAAACCAUACAAUUGUCUGGUCAAAGGUUAUAUCAGAAGGUUAUUAAUGCUGGAAACAAAGAAGAAGAAGGCUGAUCGGGUCAUUGAGGCAAACAGAGAACUUAGUAUAAGAGCGUAUGAGAAUCGAUAGUGUUUAUACCAAAUCGAUUUGGGAUCUCUUUGCAGGACAAAAAUCAAUUUUGGAUCUCUUUGCAGGAAACAUUUAUGUUUAAAGUCUUGUUGGGUCAAUGCUUGCUAAAGAAAGGGCCACCAGAUGUAUCCAAUUUGGUUUCAGAGGCUUUUAAGGUAUUAAUAUCUAUGUCGCACUACUAAUUAUCAUCAUCUUUCACCCACCUUCUAAUUUCAAAAAGUGUUCUUUUUUUCCUCUUUACGACGAAAUACUAUGAUGAUGUUCUUUGGAAUAAUAGAUUAAUGGUUUAUAUCUCUUGAUAGAUGGUAUUUAGGCAACUGAAACAAGAUUUACUUGUCUUAUCUCUAUUUUUCUUGUAGGUCAACAGUAUUAGGUGUGUAUUGUAGUUAUGGGUUCAGGUCCUCUAGAGUUUUAUGUUAAAAGUUUUGUAUCCCUCUCUGCUCUAAUCUUCUAGUACUAAUAACCCACAGCUCGAGAAUCUUGUAAGUCUUCUUGCCAUUUGCUGAUGGUUCAUGUAAUCUUACAGAUAGAAUAGAACAUUUAGUGACUUUGUCAUUUGCUAGUCAAAAUUUGCAGGCUUUCACCUAAUUGAGUAUGUAAUGUAGCCACCCUUUACUUGUUUGUUUUAGUAUGAUAUUGUACUUGUAAAAUUUUCAGAUAAGUGGGCAAAACAUUCUUUUGGAAUGACCUCAAAUACUCGGAGGCUACCAAAGUAGAGGAGAUUGAUUGAAGAAUGUGAUCACAGUAUGGCGCUACAAGAGAAAGGAUGGACCAUGUAUCAAAGGCUAAGUCUGCUAAGGAUGGUAUUAUUCUUUGUAUGAUCUAGAAGUUUGUCUCUAUUUAUUGCAAUGUUAGUUUUAUUUUAUUUAAGACUUUGUGGCACUUGAUGUUAUGUAACAUUUGAUAUUAUGUAAGACUUCUUUUGGUUAAUGUAAUAUUAAUGUUAUGUAUGU